UGUGACUGCGUACCUUUUGUAUAAUGGGUCAGCGACUUAUAUUCAGUGGCAAGGUUAACCAUCUAGGGGAGCCGUAGGGAAACCGAGUCUUAACUGGGCGUUCAGUCUCUGGAUAUAGACCCGAAACCAGGUGAUCUAGCCAUGGGCAGGUUGAAGGUUGAGUAACAUCAACUGGAGGACCGAACCGACUAAUGUUGAAAAAUUAGCGGAUGACUUGUGGCUAGGGGUGAAAGGCCAAUCAAACCUGGAGAUAGCUGGUUCUCCCCGAAAGCUAUUUAGGUAGCGCCUCGGACGAAUACUACUGGGGGUAGAGCACUGUUAAGGCUAGGGGGUCAUCCCGACUUACCAACCCUUUGCAAACUCCGAAUACCAGUAAGUACUAUCCGGGAGACACACGGCGGGUGCUAACGUCCGUCGUGGAGAGGGAAACAACCCAGACCGCCAGCUAAGGUCCCAAAUUACUACUAAGUGGGAAACGAUGUGGGAAGGCUCAGACAGCCAGGAUGUUGGCUUAGAAGCAGCCAUCAUUUAAAGAAAGCGUAAUAGCUCACUGGUCGAGUCGGCCUGCGCGGAAGAUGUAACGGGGCUAAGUAGUAAACCGAAGCUGCGGCAAU
This 614-nucleotide ribosomal RNA is filed under the name Vibrio alginolyticus. RNAcentral's name for it is "partial 23S ribosomal RNA". It matches the Rfam family "Bacterial large subunit ribosomal RNA", at positions 592 to 1209 of the family's 2925-position model. The record is from RNAcentral. Lineage: Bacteria; Pseudomonadati; Pseudomonadota; Gammaproteobacteria; Vibrionales; Vibrionaceae. RNAcentral also lists the same sequence under 3 other names.